This 533-nucleotide ribosomal RNA is filed under the name uncultured bacterium. RNAcentral's name for it is "bacterial SSU rRNA". It matches the Rfam family "Bacterial small subunit ribosomal RNA", at positions 393 to 917 of the family's 1533-position model. The record is from RNAcentral.
CAUGCCGCGUGAGUGAAGAAGGCCUUCGGGUUGUAAAGCUCUUUCGGCUGGGAAGAAAUCGCACAGGCUAAUACUCUGUGUGGAUGACGGUACCAGCACAAGAAGCACCGGCUAACUACGUGCCAGCAGCCGCGGUAAUACGUAGGGUGCGAGCGUUAAUCGGAAUUACUGGGCGUAAAGCGUGCGCAGGCGGUUGUGCAAGACAGAUGUGAAAUCCCCGGGCUCAACCUGGGAACUGCAUUUGUGACUGCACGACUAGAGUACGGCAGAGGGGGGUAGAAUUCCACGUGUAGCAGUGAAAUGCGUAGAGAUGUGGAGGAAUACCGAUGGCGAAGGCAGCCCCCUGGGCCGAUACUGACGCUCAUGCACGAAAGCGUGGGGAGCAAACAGGAUUAGAUACCCUGGUAGUCCACGCCCUAAACGAUGUCAACUAGUUGUUGGUAGGGUUAAACCUAUUAGUAACGUAGCUAACGCGUGAAGUUGACCGCCUGGGGAGUACGGUCGCAAGAUUAAAACUCAAAGGAAUUGGCGGG